Long non-coding RNA from Lemur catta (Ring-tailed lemur), 382 nucleotides. RefSeq lists it as uncharacterized. The transcript is spliced from 3 exons. The record is from RefSeq and is a predicted model, not a curated record. NCBI's taxonomy places the organism in Eukaryota, Metazoa, Chordata, Mammalia, Primates, Lemuridae.
GGGAACAGCCUGGAAGUUGUAGAAGCUCCUCCGCCCUGUCCUGGCACAGCAUCCAAUGUUUAAAGUGCAAGGGUUUAAGGCCUGUCGACUGUGGGGCUGCUUUACAACACCAGAGUGAAGAAGAGACACCUGAGCUUUAAAGAAGUCACUGGAAGCCUGAGAGGACAAACGCUUCUCAUUGGAGGAAGCUGGAGGUUGGAACCCAGGAAAUCUAGAAAUGAAAAAGGGAAAUGGAUUUGGGAAGAGUCAUGAUGACUCCACCUUUGGCAUGUUCCCCAGUGUGCACACCGAGACCCUUCAUUCCACCCAUUUGGGAGAAGCAACAACUCCACUUGCUGGUCCUUCCAAAAAAUGCUCUCUGGUUUCUUCAAUGUCUACUCUC